Molecule: ribosomal RNA, 253 nt
Filed under: uncultured bacterium
Lineage: Bacteria
Description: partial 16S ribosomal RNA
Rfam family: Bacterial small subunit ribosomal RNA
Source: RNAcentral
UACGGGGGGAGCAAGCGUUGUUCGGAAUUACUGGGCGUAAAGGGUCUGUAGGUGGCCAACUAAGUCAGACGUGAAAUCCCUCAGCUUAACUGGGGAACUGCGUCUGAUACUGGAUGGCUCGAGUGUGGGAGAGGAAUGCGGAAUUCCAGGUGUAGCGGUGAAAUGCGCAGAUAUCAGGAGGAACACCGGUGGCGAAGGCGGAUCUCUGGGCCGUAACUGACGCUGAGGAGCGAAAGCAUGGGGAGCGAACAGG